CUGACACAGGACGGCUUAAUUCUCAGUGAAGGGUCAAAUGUAAACAGAUGUUUUACAUCUGAUAGGGACAGGACAAGUCACCUUUAUGACGUAUGUACUAUGAUGAGACCAAUUUUUACUUCUUCCAACAACCGUAUGAAACAGGGGAAAGUGAGAACACAGUCCGCCACUAUCACCAAUUAUGCAGUCAAGUUUCCCACAGUUGGGUAAAUCGCAGAGGUCAGCGUUUCCAACUUGGAUGGAUGAAACUUGCCCUGGGAAAACCAUCAUGGUAUCUCCCCUGACAGGCACAGACUAUAAGUGUAAGAUGCACAGUCACUGAGGUCUUGGAGGAGAGAGGGGUUACAACUUUAAAGAGAAAAGCCAUCUGUCUGCAUGGCAGUUAUGAUGACAUCAAAUAAGAAGAACUCUUUGGAUUCUAUUUCAGAUCAAAUCAGAGGCAAAGAAGGAAAAAAAUGCAGAAAAGAGAGGGGAGCGGUCCUAAUUUCUCAACUUCACUUGGAAUUAACAAGGCUGAAGUUCUAAUCCUGAAGGAAUAUAAUAAGGAGCUCAUUGAAGGCUCUGGCUGUGCUUUGUCAUCUCAGCUUCUCCAGUGCCCAGCUUAGUGAUAAACAUUAACACCCCGGUACAUCAUUGAAUAUUCUGGUUGUGGUGAGUGGGACACUGCCUCAGCAUGAGCUGAUAAGCAGUGCCAUGUCUGCACUCAGGAUCCGAACCAGCGAAAGCCUGGGCCACCCAAGUGGAGUGCGUGAACUUAAACACUAGGCCGGCCCCUAACAUUAUUAAGUUAAAAAAAGGAUUAUCUCAGAGUUUCUGUGGAUCAGGAGUCCUGGCCUGGCUUUGCUAGAUGCCUCUGCCUCAGGUCUUUUAUAAACCUGCAGUCAAGGUGUCAGCUGGGGCUGCGGUCAUCUCAAGGCUGGACUGGCAUAGGAUCUACUUCCCAGCUGGUGUCAGGAUUCAGUUCCUCAUGGACUGUGGCACUGAGGACUUUAUUUUCUCUCAGCUGUUGGCCAAAGCCUGCCCUCAAGUUCUUGCCACAUGGGCUUCUGUAUAAGUCAACUUACAACAUGGCGACUGACUUCUCUGAGAACCAGCCACAGAGCGAGUGAGAGAGGGAGCCAGUAUAUGAGACUUCAAGCUUGAGAUUUUGCUGCUCAGCAUCCCCUUUGGAGUGUUUUCAUCAAAUAUAGGUUUUUAAAAAUGUAUCUUUCAGGCAUUGCGUCAUAAUGUAAUCUAAUAGAGGUUUUGUUGAGAAUAUUUUAACCCGACGAUUAUGGUUAAUGAAUAGCAAUUAAUAUUAUUAUUUUUGAUUUUGAAAAAAUGUUUCUUAUCAUGUGAAUGUUAUUCUAUCUUUCUUCAUUUUUUAAAGAUUACAUAUUAUUUCAACAUAACCUACUGAUGAAUACUAUGAGAAAACAAUCUAAGUUUCAGAUGUUGUUUGAAUACGCAUAUGUUGACAAAAGAUGCUAAAAUGUUUCAGUUAACUAUUUUUAUCAUAUUUAGACUUUAAAAAUUUAUUUAAAUAAAAAUAUAGGAUGCUGGAAAGUUAACUAUCACAGAAUUUAUUGUAUGAUUUUUAAUUGCUUUUCCAAAAAGCAUUUA
This 1602-nucleotide long non-coding RNA is filed under the name Equus caballus (horse). Its description in RNAcentral is "lncRNA (ENSECAG00000046291.1)". The record is from RNAcentral. Lineage: Eukaryota; Metazoa; Chordata; Mammalia; Perissodactyla; Equidae.